RNAcentral lists this ribosomal RNA (584 nucleotides) under Salmonella enterica. RNAcentral describes it as "partial 23S ribosomal RNA". It matches the Rfam family "Bacterial large subunit ribosomal RNA", at positions 1154 to 1711 of the family's 2925-position model. RNAcentral also lists the same sequence under 1 other name. The record is from RNAcentral. Lineage: Bacteria; Pseudomonadati; Pseudomonadota; Gammaproteobacteria; Enterobacterales; Enterobacteriaceae.
CGUAUCACCCAAGACAACUUUACGGAGUUGACGAUUGACGGAGCGAAGCGACGUCAAAGCGUUCAUUAAAGUCGAGUUGGCUUAGGGAUACGUUCGUUGGGUAGGGGAGCGUUCUGUAAGCCUGUGAAGGUGUGUCGUGAGGCAUGCUGGAGGUAUCAGAAGUGCGAAUGCUGACAUAAGUAACGAUAAAGCGGGUGAAAAGCCCGCUCGCCGGAAGACCAAGGGUUCCUGUCCAACGUUAAUCGGGGCAGGGUGAGUCGACCCCUAAGGCGAGGCCGAAAGGCGUAGUCGAUGGGAAACGGGUUAAUAUUCCCGUACUUGGUGUUACUGCGAAGGGGGGACGGAGAAGGCUAUGUUGGCCGGGCGACGGUUGUCCCGGUUUAAGCGUGUAGGUGUGUGUUCCAGGUAAAUCCGGUUCACUUUAACACUGAGGCGUGACGACGAGGCACUACGGUGCUGAAGCAACAAAUGCCCUGCUUCCAGGAAAAGCCUCUAAGCAUCAGGUAACACGAAAUCGUACCCCAAACCGACACAGGUGGUCAGGUAGAGAAUACCAAGGCGCUUGAGAGAACUCGGGUGAAGGA